RNAcentral lists this long non-coding RNA (2217 nucleotides) under Scophthalmus maximus (turbot). RNAcentral describes it as "lncRNA (ENSSMAG00000028326.1)". The record is from RNAcentral. Lineage: Eukaryota; Metazoa; Chordata; Actinopteri; Pleuronectiformes; Scophthalmidae.
AUGUAUCACCCAGCAGAGCUGUACUCUGGCCGUAACACAUGGGACUCCUAUCCAGCUGGAGGGCCUAACAGAGGACAAUGGGCUCCUGAACACGGUCGCCUCUGGAGCCACGCAAACCGAUGCCAAGAAGGGCGCAAUCAAUCACAUCAUCCGCUACCAAGUCGUCUUUAUAAUAGGGGGGAGCGAACAGUUAACCAUGUUCAGGACAAAGGGAUCUCAAAGGGGCACAGGCAGCAUCCGCGUCUCUGGGACAGUAAAGAGCAGCAGUUUGAGGCCCAGAACUGGCAUCACAACUCCACACGCUCCUUCCACAACCGGGCUGCCCCUAACAACGGUUAUCUAACCGGACCCGCAGAGCGCUACGCCACCUGGGACAACAAUGUCGGCAACUCUGUGAACGGGGGUUCUCGUCCGCAUCGCAACAACAGAGAGCUCCAUUCCCCGCCAGAGAGAUGGGCCCCCUCAGACUGCCGCAGGAGCUUCCCAGGCAGAAUGAUAAACAACCGGCCGGGGCCCUGGAAGCGGCCUGCCCUCCAUCAGCGGCGAGACCAAUUACACCAGCACAGCCCACCCCCACAGCACCCUUUGUCCCCGAGGGAAGAGUGUCCUGCUAAGAGGAGAAGGGAUUCUGGCUCGGAUCAGUCAUCUCUCCCUGGAUCAAGACAUUUACCUUUACUUGCCCACACACCGUCACCACCUCGCCACCACCGCUGUCACCAAGAUGACUGGAAGCCUCUCAAUGACAGGGCGGGUCCUUGCCACCACUCUGACCACAGGACCUCGACAACGCAGCAACAGGAAACCUCUAAACUUCGAGCUGGAGGACACGGCUUCGCUGACGGUGACCCAGCAGCUCCAAACCAGAGCUGUGGCAGCAGGCCGCCACAUCACGGAAGCCGAGGGAAGGUCGAGCGGAAAAUCUUGUCUUCACCAGCAGACCACACCCGUGUGCCUUACAGCCACCAAAACCACCAUUACCACUAUCAACGGCACACAGGCCGCCCCCGAGCCCCACAGCACAACCUGCCGCUAUACCCUCUAGAGGAGAGGGACUCACGGAGCCAUCACCACAAACAAAGCACAGAAUCUCAACGCACUCAUCACAGAGGCAUUUCAAGGGAUCCAGCCAUCUCCCAUUCUUCUGGUGCAGACUCUCCUCCCUAUUCGCCCCUCCUCUGCAGCCCUAAAGAUGGAGGCUCCACUGCCAGCAGUCCACCUGCCCCCUCCAGCCCUUCUUCAUACAUGGCAGCCAUCGGCAGAAAAGAUCCAUCAAUCAUUCAUCAGUUUAGCCCUGGCCUCAGUGGACAGCAGAAACUCCAGGGGAGCACAGCCAGACCCAGCCUGACAUCCGCCAUGUCUGUCACAGCUCACGGCGGUCCAAAAUCCAGGUUCUCAGACAUCAAGUACAGAAAGACUUCGCAGCCCCUCUGCUCACGGCUGCUCCCGCACGGCAGAUCGAGAGCAAACAAGCUCGACGCGGAGCUGGAAGAACACAAGAACCCUGAGUGCAAACAAAAAGAUAAGCUGGGGAAAAAGGAGAGAAAGGGAGAUGUUCAAAAGACAAACAGAAAGGGCGAGGAAAGAAGAAGGCGGAAGAAAAAAGAGGAGAGGAGGUUGGGAGAACGUAAAAAGAAAAGAGAUAAGGCGGUGAAAAAAGAAAGAAAGUUGGGCUUGAAAAUCACAAAGAAGGAAACGUGCACCACCAUGUCCAGCUCUUCAGUAGAGGUCAAAAUGAGUAAAAUGGAGACUACAACUCUGACCCCCGAGAGUCGAAGCCAGUCAACACCCAAACACAAGCACAGGGCGAGGAGUGAACGAGCAGAGGGGACACACAGGCCGUCUGCCAAUACGCCUCACCACAGCUCGAAAUCGGAAAAAAAUCACAAAAUGUCCAAAAACAACAACAGUCCCAAGAAACUCCCCGUCAAGAAACUUCUAAUGAAGCCUCCUCCCAACCGGACCAGCAAGAAGCCCAGCGUCGUCCCGUCCCAGUCGGAAGACGGACCAAAAGAAAAGCCUGAUGACGCUCUCCCUUCACUUUUAUUCAAGGCCUUAGCACCUCUCAGUGCAGCAUGUUCCGUUAGCUUAGCGCAGCCCAUCCAUGGCAAGGACGUUGGCCAGGGGGGAGGUCUCAACGCCCCGGACCUCCAGCCUGUGGCGGUGAUGGGCAAUCGAGGGAAAUGGGAGACAACCUUGCAAACACGCCUCCUGUUCUGA